UCCUAGCGGCGGACGGGUAGAGUAACACGUGGGCAACCUGCCUCAUAGAGAGGAAUAGCCUCCGAAGGGAGAUAAUACUCAUACAUUGCAGUUUCGCAUGGAACAGCAUUAAAGGAGUAAUCCGCUAUGAGAUGGGCCCGCGGCGCAUUAGCUAGUUGGUGAGGUAACGGCUCACCAAGGCGACGAUGCGUAGCCGACCUGAGAGGGUGAUCGGCCACAUUGGGACUGAGACACGGCCCAGACUCCUACGGGAGGCAGCAGUGGGGAAUAUUGCACAAUGGGGGGAAACCCUGAUGCAGCAACGCCGCGUGAGUGAUGAAGGUUUUUUCCGGAUCGUAAAACUCUGUUGUCAGAGAAGAACAAGUUGGAGAGUAACUGCUCCAGCCUUGACGGUAUCUGACCAGAAAGCCACGGCUAACUACGUGCCAGCAGCAGC
RNAcentral lists this ribosomal RNA (436 nucleotides) under uncultured bacterium. Its description in RNAcentral is "bacterial SSU rRNA". It matches the Rfam family "Bacterial small subunit ribosomal RNA", at positions 90 to 518 of the family's 1533-position model. The record is from RNAcentral.